RNAcentral lists this ribosomal RNA (556 nucleotides) under Salmonella enterica. RNAcentral describes it as "partial 23S ribosomal RNA". It matches the Rfam family "Bacterial large subunit ribosomal RNA", at positions 1022 to 1501 of the family's 2925-position model. Lineage: Bacteria; Pseudomonadati; Pseudomonadota; Gammaproteobacteria; Enterobacterales; Enterobacteriaceae. The record is from RNAcentral.
ACAACCCAGACCGCCAGCUAAGGUCCCAAAGUCAUGGUUAAGUGGGAAACGAUGUGGGAAGGCCCAGACAGCCAGGAUGUUGGCUUAGAAGCAGCCAUCAUUUAAAGAAAGCGUAAUAGCUCACUGGUCGAGUCGGCCUGCGCGGAAGAUGUAACGGGGCUAAACCAUGCACCGAAGCUGCGGCAGCGAACGUAUCACUUAAAGCGAUUCAGCGGGUUACGAUUAACGGAGCGAAGCGACGUCAAAGCGUAUACAAAGUCGAGUCGGUUUAAGGAUACGUUCGUUGGGUAGGGGAGCGUUCUGUAAGCCUGUGAAGGUGUGUCGUGAGGCAUGCUGGAGGUAUCAGAAGUGCGAAUGCUGACAUAAGUAACGAUAAAGCGGGUGAAAAGCCCGCUCGCCGGAAGACCAAGGGUUCCUGUCCAACGUUAAUCGGGGCAGGGUGAGUCGACCCCUAAGGCGAGGCCGAAAGGCGUAGUCGAUGGGAAACGGGUUAAUAUUCCCGUACUUGGUGUUACUGCGAAGGGGGGACGGUGGUGUUACUGCGAAGGGGGGACGG